RNAcentral lists this ribosomal RNA (1343 nucleotides) under uncultured bacterium. Its description in RNAcentral is "16S ribosomal RNA". It matches the Rfam family "Bacterial small subunit ribosomal RNA", at positions 28 to 1378 of the family's 1533-position model. The record is from RNAcentral.
GACGAACGUUGGCGGCGUGCUUAACACAUGCAAGUCGAACGGAAAGGCCCUGCUUUUGUGGGGUGCUCGAGUGGCGAACGGGUGAGUAACACGUGAGUAACCUGCCCUUGACUUUGGGAUAACUUCAGGAAACUGGGGCUAAUACCGGAUAGGAGCUCCUGCUGCAUGGUGGGGGUUGGAAAGUUUCGGCGGUUGGGGAUGGACUCGCGGCUUAUCAGCUUGUUGGUGGGGUAGUGGCUUACCAAGGCUUUGACGGGUAGCCGGCCUGAGAGGGUGACCGGCCACAUUGGGACUGAGAUACGGCCCAGACUCCUACGGGAGGCAGCAGUGGGGAAUAUUGCACAAUGGGCGGAAGCCUGAUGCAGCAACGCCGCGUGCGGGAUGACGGCCUUCGGGUUGUAAACCGCUUUCGCCUGUGACGAAGCGUGAGUGACGGUAAUGGGUAAAGAAGCACCGGCUAACUACGUGCCAGCAGCCGCGGUGAUACGUAGGGUGCGAGCGUUGUCCGGAUUUAUUGGGCGUAAAGGGCUCGUAGGUGGUUGAUCGCGUCGGAAGUGUAAUCUUGGGGCUUAACCCUGAGCGUGCUUUCGAUACGGGUUGACUUGAGGAAGGUAGGGGAGAAUGGAAUUCCUGGUGGAGCGGUGGAAUGCGCAGAUAUCAGGAGGAACACCAGUGGCGAAGGCGGUUCUCUGGGCCUUUCCUGACGCCGAGGAGCGAAAGCGUGGGGAGCGAACAGGCUUAGAUACCCUGGUAGUCCACGCUGUAAACGGUGGGUACUAGGUGUGGGGUCCAUUCCACGGGUUCCGUGCCGUAGCUAACGCUUUAAGUACCCCGCCUGGGGAGUACGGCCGCAAGGCUAAAACUCAAAGGAAUUGACGGGGCCCCGCACAAGCGGCGGAGCAUGCGGAUUAAUUCGAUGCAACGCGUAGAACCUUACCUGGGUUUGACAUGGAUCGGGAGUGCUCAGAGAUGGGUGUGCCUCCUUUGGGGUCGGUUCACAGGUGGUGCAUGGCUGUCGUCAGCUCGUGUCGUGAGAUGUUGGGUUAAGUCCCGCAACGAGCGCAACCCUUGUUCACUGUUGCCAGCACGUUAUGGUGGGGACUCAGUGGAGACCGCCGGGGUCAACUCGGAGGAAGGUGGGGAUGACGUCAAGUCAUCAUGCCCCUUAUGUCCAGGGCUUCACGCAUGCUACAAUGGCUGGUACAGAGAGUGGCGAGCCUGUGAGGGUGAGCGAAUCUCGGAAAGCCGGUCUCAGUUCGGAUUGGGGUCUGCAACUCGACCUCAUGAAGUCGGAGUCGCUAGUAAUCGCAGAUCAGCAACGCUGCGGUGAAUACGUUCCCGGG